RNAcentral lists this ribosomal RNA (468 nucleotides) under uncultured bacterium. Its description in RNAcentral is "partial 16S ribosomal RNA". It matches the Rfam family "Bacterial small subunit ribosomal RNA", at positions 28 to 507 of the family's 1533-position model. The record is from RNAcentral.
GACGAACGCUGGCGGCGUGCUUAACACAUGCAAGUCGAACGGAAAGGCCCUGCUUUUGUGGGGUGCUCUAGUGGCGAACGGGUGAGUAACACGUGAGUAACCUGCCCUUGACUUUGGGAUAACUUCAGGAAACUGGGGCUAAUACCGGAUAGGAGCUCCUGCUGCAUGGUGGGGGUUGGAAAGUUUCGGCGGUUGGGGAUGGACUCGCGGCUUAUCAGCUUGUUGGUGGGGUAGUGGCUUACCAAGGCUUUGACGGGUAGCCGGCCUGAGAGGGUGACCGGCCACAUUGGGACUGAGAUACGGCCCAGACUCCUACGGGAGGCAGCAGUGGGGAAUAUUGCACAAUGGGCGGAAACCUGAUGCAGCAACGCCGCGUGCGGGAUGACGGCCUUCGGGUUGUAAACCGCUUUCGCCUGUGACGAAGCGUGAGUGACGGUAAUGGGUAAAGAAGCACCGGCUAACUACGUG